Asparagus officinalis (garden asparagus) is the source of this 188-nucleotide long non-coding RNA. RefSeq lists it as uncharacterized. The record is from RefSeq and is a predicted model, not a curated record. Lineage: Eukaryota; Viridiplantae; Streptophyta; Magnoliopsida; Asparagales; Asparagaceae. The transcript is spliced from 2 exons.
CAUCCAACAAUAUUCACAUUCACAUCCAACAAUAUUAACAUUUACAUUCAUCGAUUCACAUCCAACAAUAUUAACAUUUAACAAUUCACAUAUAUACAUAAUCAGGAGGUCAUAAUAUGUUCAACACAAUCCAAAAGUCCACAUAAUCAGGAGGUCAUAAUAUGUUCAACACAAUCCAAAAGUCCACA